Ornithodoros turicata is the source of this 419-nucleotide long non-coding RNA. RefSeq lists it as uncharacterized. Lineage: Eukaryota; Metazoa; Arthropoda; Arachnida; Ixodida; Argasidae. The transcript has 4 exons. The record is from RefSeq and is a predicted model, not a curated record.
AGCAAAAAAGUUGCUACGAAAUGACCCCCCGAAUUCGCCAUAUGUCAAAUUCUUUUCAGCCGUCAGUUCUUUUUCGUUCUUCAUCGAAGGUGUCCAUUCGUCCCAGCCAUGCAGUCAAAGAUCCUUCUCUUCGCUUUUCUGCUUCUUGUGUGCGCGAUCCACGUACACGAAGCUAAGGAUCCGCGUUGCAACCAACCGCCUCCAUGGAGGACCCCGUGUGCAGGAACCACCAAGGUGUGGACCUUCCGUAAUGUGAGAGACGGUGGUAGACGUUGCAGUUACGUCCCGGACUGCCCCGGGGUGAACACUGGAAACAGAUUCUCAAGUUCGAAUGAAUGCGUCAAAGCAUGCAUACGCUAAUAAUUUCGCAUCGUCACGAGGCUCCGUGCGACAAGCGCGGUCGGCUAAGAAGACUCGAC